Molecule: long non-coding RNA, 527 nt
Filed under: Monodelphis domestica (gray short-tailed opossum)
Lineage: Eukaryota; Metazoa; Chordata; Mammalia; Didelphimorphia; Didelphidae
Description: lncRNA (ENSMODG00000037694.1)
Source: RNAcentral
GCAUGAAAGAUUUUACAAUAUUGGAUAAAUGUAUAGGUCUUGAUUAGUGUGAAUGAUGAAUUCCCAUAAGUAGUCACAUCUCUUCAAAUUCACAUUCUUCCAAGUUAUCAUUAAUUAUGCAAAAUAUGAUCUGUGGUCAACACAUGUGGAUGCUAAGGGAAUCUGCUUAUGAGAAUGCAGAAUGAAGGACCCUGACCUUCAUCUCAUAACAUGGACAGAUAUUUUGUAACUAUUUCCUAUUUUCUUGCUGUGUUGAUGAAAAGAAUGCACUGCUGAGCCAGAACCAAGUGUUCAUGUAAAAGCUUCAAGAGCCCCCAUCUCUUCCUCUCUCCAUGACUGCUUUUGAGUAAAGAGAAGGAAAAAAAAAUCUAUCCAUCAGUGGAGGGGAGAAGGUCAGGAAUAGAAUAUGAACUCCUUGAGAACCAGAACUGUUUUCCUUUUCUAUUUGGAAAGAGAUUUGAUACAACCUAGAUAAUUGAAAUUCACCAGAGCUAUGAGAGGAGCUGAAUGCUGGACAGACCACUGAU